GACGAACGCUGGCGGCGUGCUUAACACAUGCAAGUCGAACGGUAAGGCCCUUCGGGGUACACGAGUGGCGAACGGGUGAGUAACACGUGGGUGAUCUACCCUGCACUUCGGGAUAAGCCUGGGAAACUGGGUCUAAUACCGGAUAGGACUCCGGACUGCAUGGUCUGGGGUGGAAAGCUUUUGCGGUGUGGGAUGGGCCCGCGGCCUAUCAGCUUGGUGGUGGGGUGAUGGCCUACCAAGGCGACGACGGGUAGCCGGGCUGGGAGGGUGACCGGCCACACUGGGACUGAGAUAAGGCCCAGACUCCUACGGGAGGCAGCAGUGGGGAAUAUUGCACAAUGGGCGCAAGCCUGAUGCAGCGACGCCGCGUGAGGGAUGACGGUCUUCGGAUUGUAAACCUCUUUCAGUAGGGACGAAGCGAAAGUGACGGUACCUAAAGAAGAAGCACCGGCUAACUACGUGCCAGCAGCCGCCGUAA
RNAcentral lists this ribosomal RNA (478 nucleotides) under uncultured bacterium. RNAcentral's name for it is "partial 16S ribosomal RNA". It matches the Rfam family "Bacterial small subunit ribosomal RNA", at positions 28 to 523 of the family's 1533-position model. The record is from RNAcentral.